GGUUAAGCGACUAAGCGUACACGGUGGAUGCCCUGGCAGUCAGAGGCGAUGAAGGACGUGCUAAUCUGCGAUAAGCGUCGGUAAGGUGAUAUGAACCGUUAUAACCGGCGAUUUCCGAAUGGGGAAACCCAGUGUGAUUCGUCACACUAUCAUUAACUGAAUCCAUAGGUUAAUGAGGCGAACCGGGGGAACUGAAACAUCUAAGUACCCCGAGGAAAAGAAAUCAACCGAGAUUCCCCCAGUAGCGGCGAGCGAACGGGGAGCAGCCCAGAGCCUGAAUCAGUGUGUGUGUUAGUGGAAGCGUCUGGAAAGGCGUGCGAUACAGGGUGACAGCCCCGUACACAAAAAUGCACAUGCUGUGAGCUCGAUGAGUAGGGCGGGACACGUGGUAUCCUGUCUGAAUAUGGGGGGACCAUCCUCCAAGGCUAAAUACUCCUGACUGACCGAUAGUGAACCAGUACCGUGAGGGAAAGGCGAAAAGAACCCCGGCGAGGGGAGUGAAAAAGAACCUGAAACCGUGUACGUACAAGCAGUGGGAGCACAGAGCAAUCUGUGUGACUGCGUACCUUUUGUAUAAUGGGUCAGCGACUUAUAUUCUGUAGCAAGGUUAACCGAAUAGGGGAGCCGAAGGGAAACCGAGUCUUAACUGGGCGUUAAGUUGCAGGGUAUAGACCCGAAACCCGGUGAUCUAGCCAUGGGCAGGUUGAAGGUUGGGUAACACUAACUGGAGGACCGAACCGACUAAUGUUGAAAAAUUAGCGGAUGACUUGUGGCUGGGGGUGAAAGGCCAAUCAAACCGGGAGAUAGCUGGUUCUCCCCGAAAGCUAUUUAGGUAGCGCCUCGUGAAUUCAUCUCCGGGGGUAGAGCACUGUUUCGGCAAGGGGGUCAUCCCGACUUACCAACCCGAUGCAAACUGCGAAUACCGGAGAAUGUUAUCACGGGAGACACACGGCGGGUGCUAACGUCCGUCGUGAAGAGGGAAACAACCCAGACCGCCAGCUAAGGUCCCAAAGUCAUGGUUAAGUGGGAAACGAUGUGGGAAGGCCCAGACAGCCAGGAUGUUGGCUUAGAAGCAGCCAUCAUUUAAAGAAAGCGUAAUAGCUCACUGGUCGAGUCGGCCUGCGCGGAAGAUGUAACGGGGCUAAACCAUGCACCGAAGCUGCGGCAGCGACGCUUAUGCGUUGUUGGGUAGGGGAGCGUUCUGUAAGCCUGCGAAGGUGUGCUGUGAGGCAUGCUGGAGGUAUCAGAAGUGCGAAUGCUGACAUAAGUAACGAUAAAGCGGGUGAAAAGCCCGCUCGCCGGAAGACCAAGGGUUCCUGUCCAACGUUAAUCGGGGCAGGGUGAGUCGACCCCUAAGGCGAGGCCGAAAGGCGUAGUCGAUGGGAAACAGGUUAAUAUUCCUGUACUUGGUGUUACUGCGAAGGGGGGACGGAGAAGGCUAUGUUGGCCGGGCGACGGUUGUCCCGGUUUAAGCGUGUAGGCUGGUUUUCCAGGCAAAUCCGGAAAACUAAGGCUGAGGCGUGAUGACGAGGCACUACGGUGCUGAAGCAACAAAUGCCCUGCUUCCAGGAAAAGCCUCUAAGCAUCAGGUAACAUCAAAUCGUACCCCAAACCGACACAGGUGGUCAGGUAGAGAAUACCAAGGCGCUUGAGAGAACUCGGGUGAAGGAACUAGGCAAAAUGGUGCCGUAACUUCGGGAGAAGGCACGCUGAUAUGUAGGUGAAGCGACUUGCUCGUGGAGCUGAAAUCAGUCGAAGAUACCAGCUGGCUGCAACUGUUUAUUAAAAACACAGCACUGUGCAAACACGAAAGUGGACGUAUACGGUGUGACGCCUGCCCGGUGCCGGAAGGUUAAUUGAUGGGGUCAGCGCAAGCGAAGCUCUUGAUCGAAGCCCCGGUAAACGGCGGCCGUAACUAUAACGGUCCUAAGGUAGCGAAAUUCCUUGUCGGGUAAGUUCCGACCUGCACGAAUGGCGUAAUGAUGGCCAGGCUGUCUCCACCCGAGACUCAGUGAAAUUGAACUCGCUGUGAAGAUGCAGUGUACCCGCGGCAAGACGGAAAGACCCCGUGAACCUUUACUAUAGCUUGACACUGAACAUUGAGCCUUGAUGUGUAGGAUAGGUGGGAGGCUUUGAAGUGUGGACGCCAGUCUGCAUGGAGCCGACCUUGAAAUACCACCCUUUAAUGUUUGAUGUUCUAACGUUGACCCGUAAUCCGGGUUGCGGACAGUGUCUGGUGGGUAGUUUGACUGGGGCGGUCUCCUCCUAAAGAGUAACGGAGGAGCACGAAGGUUGGCUAAUCCUGGUCGGACAUCAGGAGGUUAGUGCAAUGGCAUAAGCCAGCUUGACUGCGAGCGUGACGGCGCGAGCAGGUGCGAAAGCAGGUCAUAGUGAUCCGGUGGUUCUGAAUGGAAGGGCCAUCGCUCAACGGAUAAAAGGUACUCCGGGGAUAACAGGCUGAUACCGCCCAAGAGUUCAUAUCGACGGCGGUGUUUGGCACCUCGAUGUCGGCUCAUCACAUCCUGGGGCUGAAGUAGGUCCCAAGGGUAUGGCUGUUCGCCAUUUAAAGUGGUACGCGAGCUGGGUUUAGAACGUCGUGAGACAGUUCGGUCCCUAUCUGCCGUGGGCGCUGGAGAACUGAGGGGGGCUGCUCCUAGUACGAGAGGACCGGAGUGGACGCAUCACUGGUGUUCGGGUUGUCAUGCCAAUGGCACUGCCCGGUAGCUAAAUGCGGAAGAGAUAAGUGCUGAAAGCAUCUAAGCACGAAACUUGCCCCGAGAUGAGUUCUCCCUGACUCCUUGAGAGUCCUGAAGGAACGUUGAAGACGACGACGUUGAUAGGCCGGGUGUGUAAGCGCAGCGAUGCGUUGAGCUAACCGGUACUAAUGAACCGUGAGGCUUAACCUU
This 2906-nucleotide ribosomal RNA is filed under the name Escherichia coli. RNAcentral's name for it is "23S ribosomal RNA". It matches the Rfam family "Bacterial large subunit ribosomal RNA". Lineage: Bacteria; Pseudomonadati; Pseudomonadota; Gammaproteobacteria; Enterobacterales; Enterobacteriaceae. The record is from RNAcentral.